AGUCACUGACAUUAGACUACCCCUGUAGUCCCAGCCGUAAACUAUGCGCGUUAGGUGUACUGGUGACCACGAGUCCACCGGGGUGCCGAAGGGAAACCGUGAAACGUGCCGCCUGGGAAGUACGGUCGCAAGGCUGAAACUUAAAGGAAUUGGCGGGGAGCACCACAACGGGUGGAGCCUGCGGUUUAAUUGGACUCAACGCCGGAAAUCUCACCGGAUAGGACAGACAUAUGGUAGUCGGGCUGAAGACUCUACUUGAUGAUCUG
Molecule: ribosomal RNA, 266 nt
Filed under: uncultured archaeon
Lineage: Archaea
Description: partial 16S ribosomal RNA
Rfam family: Archaeal small subunit ribosomal RNA
Source: RNAcentral